This 271-nucleotide ribosomal RNA is filed under the name Acetobacteraceae bacterium D03_36. RNAcentral's name for it is "partial 16S ribosomal RNA". It matches the Rfam family "Bacterial small subunit ribosomal RNA", at positions 54 to 345 of the family's 1533-position model. The record is from RNAcentral. Lineage: Bacteria; Pseudomonadati; Pseudomonadota; Alphaproteobacteria; Acetobacterales; Acetobacteraceae.
CUACCAUGCAAGUCGCACGAAACCUUUCGGGGUUAGUGGCGGACGGGUGAAGUAACGCGUAGGAACCUAUCUGGAGGUGGGGGAUAACAUCGGGAAACUGGUGCUAAUACCGCAUGAUGCCUGAGGGCCAAAGGAGAGAUCCGCCAUUGGAGGGGCCUGCGUUCGAUUAGCUAGUUGGUUGGGUAAAGGCUGACCAAGGCGAUGAUCGAUAGCUGGUUUGAGAGGAUGAUCAGCCACACUGGGACUGAGACACGGCCCAGACUCCUACGGG